This 189-nucleotide ribosomal RNA is filed under the name uncultured bacterium. Its description in RNAcentral is "partial 16S ribosomal RNA". It matches the Rfam family "Bacterial small subunit ribosomal RNA", at positions 1312 to 1500 of the family's 1533-position model. The record is from RNAcentral.
UCGCCUGCAUGAAGUUGGAAUUGCUAGUAAUCGCGAAUCAGAAUGUCGCGGUGAAUACGUUCCCGGGCCUUGUACACACCGCCCGUCACACCAUGAGAGUCGAUAACACCCGAAGCCUGUGAGCUAACCGUAAGGAGGCAGCAGUCGAAGGUGGGGUUGAUGAUUGGGGUGAAGUCGUAACAAGGUAGC